Molecule: ribosomal RNA, 3571 nt
Filed under: Capsicum baccatum
Lineage: Eukaryota; Viridiplantae; Streptophyta; Magnoliopsida; Solanales; Solanaceae
Description: bacterial LSU rRNA
Rfam family: Eukaryotic large subunit ribosomal RNA (bases 388-3571)
Source: RNAcentral
ACGACUCUCGGCAAUAGAUAUCUCAGCUCUCGCAUCGAUAAAGAAUAUAGCAAGAUACGAUACUUGGUGUGAAUUGCAGAAUCCCAUGAACCAUAGAGUAUUUGAACGCAAGUUGCGCCCGAAGCCAUUAGGACGAGGGCACGUCUGCCUGGGCGUCACACAUCCCAUCGCACGUUCGUAUCGUGCCUCAAUCACGGGGUGAGCUGUUGUUGUGGGGCGGAUACUGGCCUCCCGUACACCUUGAGCUCACGGCUGGCCUAAAUGCGAGUCCAUGUCGACGGACAUCGCGGCAAGUGGUGGUAUUAUCUUAACUCUCUUUAUUGUCGCGGCUAUAGCCCGUCGCGCGUCUGAACUACAGGACCCUUUCACACAUAGGCACUCUGAUUGUGAUCCCAGGUCAGGAGGGAUUACCCGCUGAGUUUAAGCAUUUCAAUAAGCGGAGGAAAAGAAACUUACAAGGAUUCCCUUACUAACGGCGAGCGAAUCGGGAACAGCCCAUCCUUAGAAUCGGGCAGCUUCAUCGUCCGAAUUGUAGUUUGGGGAAUCGUCCUCAGCGGCGGACCGGGCCCUAGUCCCCUGGAAGGGGGGUGCCAGAGAGAAUGAGAGCCCCAUUGUGACUGGACCCUAUCGCACCACGAGGCACUGUCUACGAGUUUAGUUAUUUGGGAAUGCAGCCUAAAUCGGGCGGUGAAUUUCGUCUAAGGCUAAAUACGGGCGACAGACCGAUAGCAAAAAAGUACCGGGAGGGAAAGAUGAAAAGGACUUUGAAAAGAGAGUCAAAGAGUGCUUGAAAUUAUUAGGAGGGAAGCGGAUGGGGGUCGGCUAUGCGCCACAGUCGAAUGUGGAAUGGCAAUGAGCCGUUCCACCGAUCGACUCGGGGCAUGGACCAGUGUGGAUUGGGGGCGGCCAAAGCUCGGGCUCUUGAUACGCUCGUGGAAUGCCGUCUCCUCGCUCGGGCAUCUACGCGCUACAGACGCUGGCCUGUGGACUCCUCAUUUGACCCAUCUUGAAAAAUGGUCCAAGGAGUCUGACAUGUGUGCGAGUCAAUGGACGAGUAAACCCGUAAGACGUAAUGAAGCUGAUCGGUGGUAUCCCCCUGAGGGGUGCACCGUCGACCGACCUUGAUCUUCUGAGAAGGGUUCGAGUGUGAGCAUACCUGUUGGGACCCGAAAGAUGGUGAACUAUGCUUGAGCGGGGUGAAGCCUGAAGAAAACUCAGGUGGAGGCCCGCAGCGAUACUGAUGUGCAAAUCAUUUGUCUAACUUGGGUAUAGGGACCACGGCUGCUUUGUCAAGCCAUGGCAUGGAAUUAAGAGCUCCAAGUGGGCCAUUUUUGGUAACCAGAACUGGCGAUGUGGGAUGAACUGCAAGUCGGGUUACGGCGCCAUACUGCACGCUAACCUAGAUCUCACAAAGUAUGUUGGUCGAUUAAUACAGCAGGACGAUGGUCAUGGAAGUCAAAAUCUGCUAAGGAGUGUGUAACAACUCACCUGCCGAAUAAACUAGCCCCAAAAAUGGAUGGCGCUUAAGCGCGCGACCUACACCCAGCCGUCAAGGAAAGUUCUAGGCCCCGAUGAGUAGGAGAGUGCGGCGGUCGCUACAAAACCUUGGGCGCAAGCCCGGGCAGAGCGGCCAUCGGUGCAGAUAUAUGUGGUAGUAGCAAAUAUUCAAAUGAGAACUUUGAAGACAAAGUGGGGAAGGGUUCCAUGUGAACGCACUUGCACAUGGAUUAGUCGAUCCUAACAGUCGGGGGAACCCCGAUAGAUAACGCAUUUUGUGCGUACUCCGAAAGAGAAUUGGGUUAAAAUUCCUGGACCAAGAUGUGGCGGUCGACGACAAUGUUAGGAAGUCCUAAAACGUCGGCGAGAGCCUCAGGAAGAGUUAUCUUUUAUGUUUAAUAGCUUGCCCACCCUGGAAUCGGCUCAACCGGAGGUAGGGUCUAACGGCUGGAAGAGCACCGCACAUUGUGUGGUGUCCGGUGCACUACCGGUGGCCCUUGAAAAUCCAGAGGACCAAAUGCCGUCCACACUCGGUCGUACUCAUAACCACAUCAGAUCUCCAAGCGGAACAACAUCUGGUCAAUGGAACAAUGUAGGCAAGGGAAGUCGCCAAAAUGGAUCUGUAACUUCUGGAAAAGGAUUGGCACUGAGGGUUGGGAACGAGGGUCCCAGUCCCAAACUCAUCGGCUGUCAGUGGACUACUCGAGAUGCUCCCCCAGUCGAGUUCGGGUCACCGCAUUCCAGUCGGGGGACGGACUGGGAACGAUUUCUUCGGGGGCCUUCCCCGCGCGUCGAACAGCCAACUCAGAACUGUUAUGGACUAGGGGAAUAUGACUGUUUAAUUAAAACAAAGCAUUACAAUGGUCCCAAUGGAUAUUCACGCAUUGUGAUUUCUGCCCAGUGCUCUGAAUGUCAAAGUGAUUAAAUUCAACCAAGCACGGGUAAACGACGAGAGUAAUAUAACUCUUAAGGUAGACAAAUGCCUCGUCAUCUAAUUAGUGAUGCACAUGAAUGGAUUAACGAGAUUACCACUAUCCCUAUGUACUAUCCAGCACAACCACAGCCAAGGGAACGGGCUUGGUAGAAUCAGUGAGGAAAGAAGACCCUCUUGAGCUUGACUCUACUCUGACUUUGUGAAAUUACUUGAGAGGUGUAGUAUAAGUCGAAGCCGAAAGGCGAAAGUGAAAUACCACUACUUUUAAUGUUAUUUUACUUAUUUCGUAAAUCAAAAGUGGGCCACUGUUCCUCUUUUUGGACCCAAGGCUCGCUCUGCGGGCCGAUCUAGGCAGAAGACAUUGUCAGGUAGGAAGUUUGCCUGCGGUGGCACAUCUGUUAAAAGAUAAUGCAGGUAUCCUAAGAUGAGCUCAACUAGAACAGAAAUAUCGUGUGGAACAGUAGGGUAAAAGCUCGUUUGAUUCUAAUUUCCAGUACGAAUACGAACCAUGAAAGCGUGGCCUAACGAUCCUUCAGACCUUUGGAAUUUGAAGCUAAAGGUGUUAGAAAAGUGUUACCAGGGAUAAUUGGCCAGUUGCAGCCAAGCGUUCAUAGCGACGUUACUUUUUCAUCCAUCGUUGUCGGCUCUUCCUAUUAUUGUGAAGCAGAAUUCACCAAGUGUUGGACUGUUUACCCGCCAAUAGGGAAUGUGAGCUAGGUUUAGACUGUCGUGAGAAAGGUUAGUUUUACCCUACUUAUGACAGUGUCGCAGUAGUAAUUCAACUUAGUAAGAGAGGAAAUGUUGAUUCGCACAAUUUGUCAUCGCGCUUGGUUGAAAAGCCAGUGGUUCAAAGCUACCGUGUGCUGGAUUAUGAAUGAACGCCUCUAAGUAAGAAUUCGGGCUAGAAGCGACGCAUGCGCCCACUGUCCGCUUGCUGACCUGCAUUAGGGUCCUCGGCCCCCAAGGGCACGUGUCGUUUGCUAAGCCACCACCGCGGAAGAGUUGCGGUGGCCGCCUUAAUGUAUAAUUUACAUCGAGCGGCGAGUAGAAUCCUUUGCAGAUGACUGAAAUAUGCAACGGGGUAUUGUAAGUGGAAGAGUGGCCUUGCUCCCACGAUCCACUGUGAUUCAUCCCUUUGUU